RNAcentral lists this transfer RNA (73 nucleotides) under Cricetulus griseus (Chinese hamster). It matches the Rfam family "tRNA". Rfam says of the family: Transfer RNA (tRNA) molecules are approximately 80 nucleotides in length. Lineage: Eukaryota; Metazoa; Chordata; Mammalia; Rodentia; Cricetidae. The record is from Rfam by way of RNAcentral.
AAUGGUAUGGCUCAGUGGUUUAGAGCACUGGCUGCUCGUCCAGAGGUUUUGGGUUUAAUUCCCAGCACCAACA